GUUUGAUCCUGGCUCAGAAUCAACGCUGGCGGCGUGCCUAACACAUGCAAGUCGAACGAGAAAGUGGAGCAAUCCAUGAGUAAAGUGGCGACCGGGUGAGUAACACGUGACUACCUACCCUCGAGUGGGGAAUAACUCCGGGAAACCGGGGCUAGUACCGCAUAACAUCGAGAGAUCAAAGGAGCAAUUCGCUUGAGGAGGGGGUCGCGGCUGAUUAGCUAGUUGGUAGGGUAAUGGCCUACCAAGGCGAUGAUCGGUAGCCGGCCUGAGAGGGCGCACGGCCACACUGGAACUGAAACACGGUCCAGACUCCUACGGGAGGCAGCAGUGGGGAAUUUUGCGCAAUGGGGGAAACCCUGACGCAGCAACGCCGCGUGGAGGAUGAAGUCCCUUGGGACGUAAA
This 403-nucleotide ribosomal RNA is filed under the name uncultured bacterium. RNAcentral describes it as "bacterial SSU rRNA". It matches the Rfam family "Bacterial small subunit ribosomal RNA", at positions 11 to 429 of the family's 1533-position model. The record is from RNAcentral.